GCCUUGUGAUCAAUUUUUACCUUAUAUACACAUGCAAGUCUCCGCACCCCUGUGAAAACGCCCUUAAAACCCCCGUAGGGAAAAGGAGCCGGUAUCAGGCGCAUAACCAUGCCCAAAACACCUAGCUACGCCACACCCACAAGGGAACUCAGCAGUGAUUAACAUUGACUAUAAGCGCCAGCUUGAUUCAGUUAUGGUAAACAGAGCCGGCAAAUCUGGUGCCAGCCGCCGCGGUUACACCACGUGGCUCAAAUUGAUCCCCAUCGGCGUAAAGCGUGAUUAAAGUUAUUUUUAUACUAGAGUUGUACUAAAAUUAAGCCGUGACACGCUUAUUAUUCAAGAAACACAAAGACGAAAGUUACUCUAAUUAUUCCAACUUGAAUUCACGACAGCCAGAACACAAAC
This 405-nucleotide ribosomal RNA is filed under the name Cycloramphus organensis. RNAcentral describes it as "partial 12S ribosomal RNA". Lineage: Eukaryota; Metazoa; Chordata; Amphibia; Anura; Cycloramphidae. The record is from RNAcentral.